GGGUGCCACUGUGACCUGGAGAAAUUACAUAAAUCUUUAGGAUAGUUCUAGGUCUAUGGGAGACAACUCCUGAUCAAUUUUAUUUCCUAUAUAUAUAUAUCUAUAUAUAUUUUUCUUCUAUUUUUUUUUUUUAUUUCAAACAACAAUAUUUUCUAUAAUUUUCUUUCGUUCUUCAAAAAGGGAGUGCAAUAAAUUAGAUAAGUUUGAAGUAACAAACAAAUCUUCAGAUGAAAGAAUCCAAACAAAUUUCAUUUCAUCAGAUAAUCUUGAAAAAUUUUUGAAUUUAGAAUUUAAAUUAGAUAGAUGUUGAGAUCGAGUAUCUUUUAGAACAGGACAUUUUAAAAGAAAAUGUAGUUCGUCUUCAACUGCGUUCUUACAUAGCUUACACUUUCUGUCUUCAGCUUUAAUUCCAAUAUACCUCCCUCUUUCGAUUUCAAGAUCAUGACAGCUAGUUCUAAAUCUUGUGAUUAUUUGCCUGUCUUUUUUUUGAAUUCAUUUUUAAAUAUGGUUCAAACAUAAAAAUAUUUUUAAAUUUUCUGUAAGUUCUUAAUUUAUUGCCAGAUUGUAAAUUAGUA
RNAcentral lists this long non-coding RNA (575 nucleotides) under Mytilus galloprovincialis (Mediterranean mussel). Lineage: Eukaryota; Metazoa; Mollusca; Bivalvia; Mytilida; Mytilidae. The record is from RNAcentral.